GACGAACGCUGGCGGCGUGCUUAACACAUGCAAGUCGAACGAAGAGCGAUGGAAGCUUGCUUCUAUCAAUCUUAGUGGCGCACGGGUGAGUAACGCGUAAUCAACCUGCCCUUCAGAGGGGGACAACAGUUGGAAACGACUGCUAAUACCGCAUACGCUCUAACCUCGGCAUCGAGGAUAGAUGAAAGGUGGCCUCUACAUGUAAGCUAUCACUGAAGGAGGGGAUUGCGUCUGAUUAGCUAGUUGGAGGGGUAACGGCCCACCAAGGCGAUGAUCAGUAGCCGGUCUGAGAGGAUGAACGGCCACAUUGGGACUGAGACACGGCCCAGACUCCUACGGGAGGCAGCAGUGGGGAAUCUUCCGCAAUGGACGAGAGUCUGACGGAGCAACGCCGCGUGAGUGAUGACGGCCUUCGGGUUGUAAAGCUCUGUUAAUCGGGACGAAAGGCCUUCUGGCGAAUAGUUAGAAGGAUUGACGGUACCGGAAUAGAAAGCCACGGCUAACUACGUG
Molecule: ribosomal RNA, 510 nt
Filed under: uncultured bacterium
Lineage: Bacteria
Description: partial 16S ribosomal RNA
Rfam family: Bacterial small subunit ribosomal RNA
Source: RNAcentral